AGUAAUGUGAUACACGUCUCACUAGCGAGAUACUUUGGGGUCGUGACACACUUAAUAAAGUAUACACGUCUAUCAUCGUCAUAUGGCCAGGCUGCCGACGAACAGACACCGUUUCUCGUUUCUCUCCUCCUCCUGUUUUCCAACCUUUCUCCGCUAACUCUAUAAGUUACAAAAUUUUCUGACGCUUUCGAUCACUGUCUCAACUUCAUUCUUUCUUCUCUUGGUAACUUGCCGGUAAUUUUCUUUUCGUGUUAUUUUCUUUCGAGUCUAUUUUUAUGUGAUUUUUUCAUCUGGGUGUGAAUUUUUCUUUCGGUGGACAGUUGAGUUUCUGAUCAAUUAUUAGCUUUGUAUGUUGAUUUAAAGCUGAAAAUUAUUUUCAUACAACACUUAUGUUAUUUGAUUUUGAAAUCGAAUGUAUAAAAUUUCUUUCCUCAUUGCUUUGGAAUUGAAUAUCGAGGCAUUAGUCGAAACCCCAAAUCUGCUUUCUGUUAUUGCUUCCCUUGCUCGCAGGCAGCUUCAUCAAUUGAUAUUUCUGGUGAAGCUGCUCCCUCGACUGAAUGUCGCACUCUGGCUUUGCAACUUAGUCUAUGCUCUUCGCAUUUAAUGAAAAUUUUCACUCUUUUAUGUGGUUUUUUUGUACAUUUUUCUUUAUAUAUAGCAGGGAUUUGCAUAUUAACGCGGUCGACCCCUAUGCCAUAAUUUCUCAAAACGAGGAGGCCAUAGAUAAAUUUGACAUUAGUGAUUCCGCUGGCAAACCUCGAGGGUCGAAUGUAGGUGACAAUGCUUGGGAAAAGGGAACAUAAGGAAAUCAAAGAAUUCAAUGGAGCUCAUUGUCUCAUAUUUUGGGGGAUAAAGAAAGAUGAAGUGGUUUAAUGCCAUGGGCAGCUGCAAAGAGACUUUCCACUUCAAAAGCUGCUAAAGCUUUUGAUCACUAAAAUUCUGCAAAAAUCUCGACUAAAUAUAGAAAAGAUCGGAUUCCAAUUUUUAUCAAAAAGAAACUGAAGAUCUAAUGCUUCAACUACAUAGUUCAACUCAUUAAAGAAAUGGAGCAAGAUAAAAGCACUGCAAGUGUUCCAUCCAUUUAGAAACGUCAGAGAAAGUAGUUUGUAAUUAUUCUGAACAGAAAGCUGUUGUUGCUUAUUAAAGAUACUACCACCUGGGAACUUUCAUUGGUGACAUACGAUCACAUGUUACCCUAGGAGUAUCAAUUAUUUGCUUUUUCAUUAUUGUAUCUUCUAUCAUCUGGCUAAAGAAUAAGACAAUUCCAUAAAGAUGGCGUUAAACCUUUGAACAAUUUAAUGAAGUUCUGGAUCUUAAUACCUGAUGGUUACUGUAUUCGAGAGCUUUUCCAGUCUUUCAUGACAGUGCCUUCCAAUUUUUACGUUCUUUUAUCUGUUAUUCUGUUCAACAUGUAGAUCUUCUGUAUGCAUACUUUUGUGAUCCUAUAUAUCACAAUAGUCUUGAAGCAAUACUUUCACAAGAUGUAACAAGAUUGAACAUUUCUCAUUUUACAGGCAGAGGUAAAUCAUAAACUCAGCAAUUCAAAGAAAGCAAUGACGAAAGUUGCUCCAUUAUGAAGUCACGAGGACCUUACAAGAAAAUUCAAGGUGACUACUGACUUUCGAGAUUCUUUAAAUUCUUCAUCAUUACGGUACAAAAUUAUUUUGUUUAGAUAGGUUAUUGGAAGUGUAUCUUGAAAAUCAAUACUGAUUAGCUUAUAUCCACAAUUAUGAAAGUUAUAUUAAUUUUAAGAUUUGAAGUACGGAUAACAAUCCCUUUUUGUCAAAACAAAAACUAUUGAUAAGAAUAUUGAGAAGAACUGUUGGAUAAGUGAAUUGGAG
Molecule: long non-coding RNA, 1841 nt
Filed under: Nicotiana tabacum (common tobacco)
Lineage: Eukaryota; Viridiplantae; Streptophyta; Magnoliopsida; Solanales; Solanaceae
Description: long non-coding RNA (NTAB_LNC003229)
Source: RNAcentral